UACAGAGGUCCCGAGCGUUGUUCGGAUUUAUUGGGCGUAAAGGGUGCGUAGGUGGCAAAGUAAGUUGGAUGUGAAAUCCUGGGGCUUAACCUCAGAAUUGCAUUCAAUACUGCUUAGCUAGAGAGCUGUAGAGGGGACUGGAAUUUACGGUGUAGCAGUGAAAUGCGUAGAUAUCGUAAGGAACGCCAGUGGCGAAAGCGAGUCUCUGGGCAGCAUCUGACACUGAGGCACGAAGGCCAGGGGAGCAAACAGG
This 253-nucleotide ribosomal RNA is filed under the name uncultured bacterium. Its description in RNAcentral is "partial 16S ribosomal RNA". It matches the Rfam family "Bacterial small subunit ribosomal RNA", at positions 524 to 776 of the family's 1533-position model. The record is from RNAcentral.